GGAAGGGCUGCAGCUCAGUGGUAGAGCAUCUGCCUUGCAUGUAGAAGGUCCCAGCUUCCAUUCCCAGCAUUUCCA
This is a non-coding RNA of Podarcis lilfordi (Lilford's wall lizard), 75 nucleotides long. The record is from the annotation of a GenBank genome assembly. NCBI's taxonomy places the organism in Eukaryota, Metazoa, Chordata, Lepidosauria, Squamata, Lacertidae.